RNAcentral lists this unclassified non-coding RNA (392 nucleotides) under uncultured fungus. RNAcentral describes it as "partial contains 5.8S ribosomal RNA and internal transcribed spacer 2". The stretch from base 1 to 133 matches the Rfam family "5.8S ribosomal RNA", at positions 22 to 154 of the family's 154-position model. Lineage: Eukaryota; Fungi. The record is from RNAcentral.
UGGCUCUCGCAUCGAUGAAGAACGCAGCGAAAUGCGAUAAGUAAUGUGAAUUGCAGAAUUCAGUGAAUCAUCGAAUCUUUGAACGCACCUUGCGCCCCUUGGUAUUCUGAGGGGCAUGCCUGUUUGAGUGUCACCUAAUCAUCGACCUGAAUCUAUUUCAGUGCUCGGAAAUUGGAGCGGUGCGGGUGGCCUCUCUCACAAGAGGGGAACCCGCUCCUCUUGAAAGCUAUUAGCAGAAAUGUUUGUGCUGCAGACCUGACUUGGCGUGAUAAUCUAUCUACAUCGCCGUCCAGGAGUGCACAUUCCAAACCUUAUGCUUCCAACCGGUUGCCCCCCAUGCAACAGUUCAUUUCUGACAAUUGGACCUCAAAUCAGGUAGGACUACCCGCUGA